CUUUCCUGCAGGAGCAAGCAAAGAGACUUCCAUUGCUUCCACAUGCUCUGCAACAAGCAACCAACCAGACUACCUGAGGCACUGCAUCAUCGAAUCCUAGCAGAUUAUCAGCAGUUACAACAGGGUAGCCCCAGCUACUCUGAAAUGAAGAGCAGGUGCCUGUACCUCCACAAAAAGCUGGCCCAUAUUCAGAGCCGCAUUUCUGAAUUUGACCAGCUGUAAGUGGAGUACUGGCACCAGACAACUGCUUCAGCCUUGUGAAAUCUGCGAACCCUGGAUUUUUAUUUCAACCCUAGAUUUUUUAUUUAUUAGAGGAUUAGUUUUUAGGAUUAUUUAAGUUAGUAUUGAACAGUAAUUUAUUUUAGCACUGAGCUGUAGAAUAUUUCUUAUACGUGUAGGAUUAGUUCAAAGAAGUUUAGUAAGUUUAAGAAGUUGAAAGAUGAU
Molecule: long non-coding RNA, 444 nt
Filed under: Zonotrichia albicollis (white-throated sparrow)
Lineage: Eukaryota; Metazoa; Chordata; Aves; Passeriformes; Passerellidae
Description: lncRNA (ENSZALG00000011405.1)
Source: RNAcentral